UCCUACGGGAGGCAGCAGUAGGGAAUAUUGCGCAAUGGACGAAAGUCUGACGCAGCAACGCCGCGUGGAUGAUGAAGCUUUUUGGAGUGUAAAAUCCUGUCAGUGGGGACGAACAAGUGUGGGAGUAACUGCCCAUGCCCUGACGGUACCCACAGAGGAAGUUCCGGCCAACUCCGUGCCAGCAGCCGCGGUAAUACGGGGGGAACAAGCGUUGUUCGGAUUUACUGGGCGUAAAGGGCGUGUAGGCGGAUUUUCCAGUCAGAUGUGAAACCCGGUGGCUUAACCACCGGCCUGCAUCUGAUACUGUUAAUCUUGAGUAUGGAAGAGGAAAGCGGAAUUCCAGGUGUAGCGGUGACAUGCGUAGAUAUCUGGAAGAACACCGGUGGCGAAGGCGGCUUUCUGGUCCAAUACUGACGCUGAGGCGCGAAAGCUAGGGGAGCAAACAGGAUUAGAUACCCUGGUAGUCCACGCCGUAAACGAUGAGUGCUAGUUGUUUGGGGCUAUCCAGCCCUAAGUGACGCAGCAAACGCAUUAAGCACUCCGCCUGGGGAGUACGACCGCAAGGUUGAAACUCAAAGGAAUU
This 583-nucleotide ribosomal RNA is filed under the name uncultured bacterium. Its description in RNAcentral is "bacterial SSU rRNA". It matches the Rfam family "Bacterial small subunit ribosomal RNA", at positions 337 to 911 of the family's 1533-position model. The record is from RNAcentral.